CCAGCAGCUGCGGUAAUUCCAGCUCCAAUAGCGUAUAUUAAAGUUGUUGCAGUUGAAACGCUCGUAGUUGGAUGUUUGGCGUGUUGGGCGUGUGUGUGCGGGGCAACCUGUGCACUGUGCCUUGAUGCGCUGUCUUUUUUCUCGGUGUUGCGCGUGUGCCAUUCACUUGGUGCGCGUUGCGAUUCGGGACUUUUACUUUGAAAAAAUUAGAGUGUUCAAAGCAGGCUUGUACGUUUGAAUAGAUUAGCAUGGAAUAAUGGAAUAGGACUUUGGUUCAUAUUUCGUUGGUUUUGGGACCGAAGUAAUGAUUAAUAGGGAUGGUUGGGGGCAUUAGUAUUGCGUUGUCAGAGGUGAAAUUCUUGGAUUUACGCAAGACUAACAUGUGCGAAAGCGUUUGCCAAGGACGUUUUCA
RNAcentral lists this ribosomal RNA (412 nucleotides) under uncultured eukaryote. RNAcentral's name for it is "SSU rRNA". It matches the Rfam family "Eukaryotic small subunit ribosomal RNA", at positions 567 to 972 of the family's 1831-position model. The record is from RNAcentral.